UGGGGAAUUUUGGACAAUGGGCGAAAGCCUGAUCCAGCAAUGCCGCGUGUGUGAAGAAGGCCUUCGGGUUGUAAAGCACUUUUGUCCGGAAAGAAAUCCUUGGCUCUAAUACAGUCGGGGGAUGACGGUACCGGAAGAAUAAGCACCGGCUAACUACGUGCCAGCAGCCGCGGUAAUACGUAGGGUGCAAGCGUUAAUCGGAAUUACUGGGCGUAAAGCGUGCGCAGGCGGUUUGCUAAGACCGAUGUGAAAUCCCCGGGCUCAACCUGGGAACUGCAUUGGUGACUGGCAGGCUAGAGUAUGGCAGAGGGGGGUAGAAUUCCACGUGUAGCAGUGAAAUGCGUAGAGAUGUGGAGGAAUACCGAUGGCGAAGGCAGCCCCCUGGGCCAAUACUGACGCUCAUGCACGAAAGCGUGGGGAGCAAACAGGAUUAGAUACCCUGGUAGUCCACGCCCUAAAACGAUGUCAACUAGUUGUUGGGGAUUCAUUUCCUUAGUAACGUAGCUAACGCGUGAAGUUGACCGCCUGGGGAGUACGUCGCAAGAUUAAAACUCAAAUGAAUUGACGGGGUC
This 572-nucleotide ribosomal RNA is filed under the name uncultured bacterium. RNAcentral describes it as "partial 16S ribosomal RNA". It matches the Rfam family "Bacterial small subunit ribosomal RNA", at positions 355 to 920 of the family's 1533-position model. The record is from RNAcentral.